UCCUCCACCAUAUUUCGAAAUUCCCCACCCCACCUCUGCCUCCGGCGCCGGAGGUGGUUGCUUCUUCGUUGAAUUUUCAGAUUGUUAUAGCAGAUUUAGGGGUGGCUCUGAAAAUGACCAAGGCGACUCCCGGCCGCUGGACAGCGUCCAUGCUGCGCGGAAAAAGCCUAACAAACUGCCUGCUUUCUCGAUUGGUUGGGCGAAGAGCUCCACAUUUACUGAUGUCGCUCAAAUAAAGCGAAAAUCAAUAGGAUGCUAACUGAUUUUUACGAACAGACACCUCGUCCCAACCCAUCUAUUCAUUGGCGGUGCAGAGUAUAUGGUAAUUUAAGGUGAAUGUGGAAAGAAGAGGAGAUAAGGAUGACGACCCUCAAAUUGAUAUGACUUUGAAUGAAGGGCCAGAUUUAUUGAUUCCUCAGGAGGUUUGAGAGAAGCUCCAUAAAUGGUACAGAGGGCCAGCAUUUCCGCGGAAUGUGAUCUCAAUUGGGUAUAAACAGAAGCACUUAGUGGUGGAAAUCUCCCCCUUGUGUCUCAGGCUAAUUGAUACCGGAGACGAGGGCGAACUAACUUUAAAUUGAGCAGAAGGGUAAUAGAGAGCUCUUCUUUAAGAUCAGUUUUGGAUGAUACAUGGCUUUAAAGAAGAGAGAUUUUUUUACAAUCUCUGAAUCUCACAUUUAUAUCAUGGUAGACAUUAUCUUCCAAGUGUGUCAACAAUGUUAUUUUACUCUACUGCAGUGAUUGAUGCGGGAUAUUGUAAAAUCUUCUUUACAUUUUAUUUCUGCACAUCACCUAUUAUUUAACACAUGUAAGUGCUUUAUGAAUAAUUACUAUUUUGUGUGGUUGAUUGUUGAAGAAGUUAUGUUUGCUUACUUUGGCUAAUUGUUGAUGCAUAAAUUGUUGAAAGUUAUAUUUAUCUUAGCAUUUUAAAUUUUCAUCCUUUAUAAGUUCUGGACAUACUUUCCUUUUGCCUUAAGUAAAAGGUCACUUAUAUUUGUAUAAUUGCAUUGUUCAUUUACAUAUGGAUAGAAUCGAACUUUUGACAUUUUCUUAAUGCUGUCAAUAUUAUAGCUUGGUUUGAUCAUUUACAAACUAGAAAUAUCUUUAAUAUUGUUUAGAGAACCUUCUGCCCUUGAUGGAUUGAUCUGACCUUUCAUUGACUUAGUCUUGUUAUAACCAAUUAAAAAUAAAAUUGUUCUUAUUGAUUUCUUGUAGUUUAUAAUAUGAAUUCACAUGCUCUAAUUCUGUCUUCAAGUUACUUUGCACGAUCUCUAUGUAAAAGUGUGCCAUCUUAGAGGUUUAAAUCUCAAAGAGGUUUGUUUAUACACAACACUUUUAUUGUUUAUUUUACUCUUCUAGAAAUCUUGUUGAGAACAUUGUAGAUGCAUUCUUUUAUUGUCAUGUUUGCAUCUGGGACUACUUCGGUGAAAGGAAGCUAAGUAUAUUAACUCCUUCAAGCCAACAUUUUGGGGAGACUAAUUUGCAAAUGAAUCAAUCGGUAAGUUCAUACUGCCUUGUUACUAUCACAAAUUUCACAAGUAGUUGUAUCUUCAACUCCUUAAUUUGUGUGGCGACUAUGGUUUGUUUUAUUUGUUUUUUUCCAGCAGAUUAAUUCAUAUUAUGAUUGAAAAGUAAACAUAUACUUCAAGCUUUCAAGUUGUUGGUGCUUGAGAUUACAUGGUUAUUUUAAUAAGGCUUUCUUUGCGGCUCUAUUUUUUGUCACUUAUUUUGUUGAACUUGGAUACCUUUUUGAUAAACUAUAUGCAUAGCUCUUUUCACUUCUACCUUUCAUCUUUUCGUAGAUUCUUCUUGAGGCGCAAACUAAUGGAUAUGGUCUUGUUCCAUGUUUCUUCAUGGGUUGCCAAUCGGCACCCCUAGUGGGUUUAUAUAAGCAAACAUUAAUUUGAAUCUCCAAUACAUAAUUUGAUAAUUCCUAUUGCCAUUUUAUUUGAAAUUGUAUAUAUUUAGUCGUUAAUGUUCAUUUGUGUUGGAAUACUUCCAGGUCUUUGUAUUUAUAGUUGCUAAGUAUGACACUCCCAAAAAUUUACUUAAUCUGGUAUGUUAUUUCGUUCCAAAUGUUUGUUUUAGACUUAUGUUUGUUAUAGUCUACUAUAAAAUAUGUAAUUUAUUGUUUCUCAAUUGUCUACACAUCCCCUUUCGAUUCGGUAGACAAACUAUACUUUAAAUGUCGAAUUCCAAAUUUGAGAUAGAACUAUGCCUGCAGAUCAAAUACAUAGAUUCGUCAAGAUGGCAGAAAUUGUACACUGCGCAUUUACUUUUCAUUCGAAAUUUUAGAUUUAACUUUUUUUUCUCUAGGUAUGUAGUGACAAAUUUGGAAGCCAUAAAUUGUGCUGUGCGCAUUAAAUUUCUUUUUAGUUAAAAUUUUACUUCAAGACUUCAUAUCUUCGUAGGAGAACUUACACUUUAAAUAACACAUUUAUGUUUGCUUCUAAUUAUUUUGUCUUUGUACUAAAUUGUUAUUAUUUGAUGUACUAUGAAAAGAGAUGUCUCAUGUCUCAUUUUUUGACUUUGUUUACAUCUUUAUUCAUAGUUUAGAUUAGGUAUUGGUGCUGGUAUGAUAUUUGCAACCUUGUGCUCAGAUUGGAAUUUUAUUGGUAGUAUAUUUGUACUUUAAUUAUUUAUUGCAUGUUAAAAUUUUAAAUAUACAGUUAACACUAUAAAUUAGAAAAAUAAAAGAAAUUGGAGGACUAAGAACUUCCUCAUAUUCUCUUUCUCUUACUUUGCUAAUUCCCUCAUGUGUACAUUCUGAGUGAUCGUCAUUUUCAGGAUUGCUGCUUCGUACCCAUUCUCGGUGAGAGCUUUAGGAAGACCGUAAGAAACGGUCAAAUGGGGCUGACAUUUUGCAAACUUUCAAUACUUUCUCUACAACUCUAAGACACAUGCGUGUCCUCAUCCUUCAAUAUUCAAAAGUUCUGAUCUAAUCUUUGAUCAAACCCUGGCUGUCAAUUUUAUUGUCAAUAAUUUCAAACAAGUGAUUUAUAUUGAAAAUAAUUUUAGAAACCCAAAAUUUAGUUUUAAUAUUUUCAAUGAUCAAUUUCGUAGACAUGUGCUAAACCUUCUUUGAGAAUAUGUUCCGACAAAAUUUGAAUUUUUAUGGCUUUUGAAGAAGAGUUUGGAUUUGAGAUUCCAGGCGAUGAGGCGGCUGUUGACUUCAUCACAUCUCAACCUCGGGAAAAAUUUAUUUAUAUAUAUAUAUAUAUAUAUAUGCUUUUCAGGGUUUGGCUUUCUUCCCUUCACUCUUUUGAUUAAAAAUCGAUGUUUCAAAGAUUUCUAUCUUGGUCAAUUACAUUUUACAUUAGUCUGCUGCAUAAUACAUUCUCCUUACCUUGUGAAGGAAACCUUGGAGAAUGAGGUCAAUUUUUGUGUUUGUAAUUAGCUUCCUACCCAUUCCAUCUGUGUUAUAACUAUUCCAUAAAAAAAAAACAUUAUGCUCUGGUUAUCUUUGAGUAUAUUUGAUCCUUUUUUGUUCUCGUUGUUGAAAGGAUUGAGAUUAUUAAUCUCUUGUUUUUGCUGACCUAUGUUUUUUAUCUCAUAAUUGGUUUCCACCAGACGACACACCUUGGGAUUGAGGUGAGAAGAUGCUUCUUUUGGUUAAGAGAAGAUGAAACUAACUAUCAGCCCAGCAGUUUCUUUUCAAUCCACUAAAGUUUAAGCUCCAAAUGUAAUAGUUGUGAAUGCGCAUGGCCCCGGCCACAUUUUCCUUUUUACUUGUCUUAAUCAAUCACUUAUUCUAAUAUUUGUAACUUUUCUUAUAGGCACAUUUAAAUUGACACUUCAGUUUACAGAGGAUUACCCUAAUAAACAAUGGAUAGUUCAAUUCAUAUCUAGAAUGUUCCAUCCUAACACCUUAUUAUGCUCAACUAUCAACAAUUUAUAUCUGAUGGCGCAUGAAAUUAUUUGUUUCCCAUGUAAUGUUAUUGUUGGCAAUUGACACUACUUUUGAAUAUGAAAUUUAAGCAUCUGAAAGAUCUUUACCACUUGUCGCUGUAUUCUGACUCAACAGCAGCUGCUGGAAUAGCAUGAUCAGGAUAUACAAUGUAAUGAACUUAUUAGUCAUGCUCUUCUAAGUGACACUAUAGCACAAUUCAAUGCAGUUAUUGUUAGUUUUGUAUUUUCAUAAUAGUUAUGUUGUAUAAUUCUGACCCCCAAGUUUGUAAUUAUUUCAUCCGGGGACAAGUCUCUCAUAGACCAUGUAAAAUUCUUUGAAACUCUCAACAUAGCUGGAGUUAGCCAACAUAGCUUACUGUUCUCUAAGGCGGCAGCUCCAUGAGGAGUGGAGGUAGUGGAGGAAGUGAGAAGGUGAUAUACUUUAUUUAAACUUUAUCGAUUUAAAUGUUCAUUUAGUUUUUGGAUAAAAAUUGUGAUGCCUGAGAAAGUUGAUAGGGAAAUGUUAUAUUACUGAAUUUCACCUUCUUAUCGUUAUCAUGUAUGAAUGUUGUUAUGUUAUCCUCAUUGCCUUAUAAAUGAGCCGGAAUACUGUGUCUUUGAAUGAUAUAAUUUAUCUCCUUAUUUCGUCCACAGGCCAACAGAGAAUGUGUUUAUGGGGAAUGCACCUUGGCAACCAUUCCAUGAACAAGAUGUUGAUGGGCAUUUCUGUUGAUUGAAAAACUACACUGCUUUCUCACUCAUAAAUACUUAAUGAUUGUUUGGUGCGACGAAAAAUUUUUCACUCAUAAAAGUCACGUAUGUGAGGCAUUUGUUACAGCGAGCAAAAGCUAGAUGGCGAGUGAUGGUGUUUAAUAGCAGAGGUUGUGAGGACAACCUUGUCACUACAACUCAGUGUUUUUGGAUGUUAUCAUUCUUUAGUGUAAAAUCAAAGGCAGGUAAAUUAAAAUAUUGAUUGAAUUUAGCAUCCGUCCAAUGAUCCUAUGCAUAUGCAUUUUACUUUUGUUUGCUAAAUAAUCACGAGUAGAUGGAGAUGUUGUAUUUGCUAGUCUUGACAUCCAUCCUUAAUUACGUUCCAAAUAAAUUGGAAAUAAUUCAUGUUCUCAUGAGUGGAUGGAGAUGUAUCACCGUAUUCCUAUUGUGCAUCUCUUGCUGCUAUAACCUUUUCACAUUUGAUUAUAUUCUUGUAUACUAUUAUAUAAAAUUCAAUAUUCAACACCUAAUAUUUUGUUUUCUUAUAAUUUUUCACAUCAAACAUAUAUCAUUAAUGCAACAUUGAUCAUCAUUAUGUAUGUGUAAGGUUGUAUAAGAUUUUUUACAUUACACUACACCCGUGUGGCAUUGUGCGUGCCGGGUUCUAGUAUAUCUAUAAUGGCAUUGUGCGUGCAGGAUUCUAGUAACUUAUAUAUAUACAACUUAUAUAUAUAUAAUAUUGGAAAAAAUGGAACAGAUGACACCCAAAGUUUCUUCUAGCUAUAUAUAUAAGAGUUGGUGCACAAACUAGUAUGUUCCUCUCUUGGUUAUGGAUUAGUGUUCGUAUGUAGUUCGCCGUCUGUUGAAGGUAUUUUGGUGUCUGAUUUGGGGGAAAUGAGGAUUCUGUCAGAAAUGAAGGAUUUUCUUGCAAAUCGGAGGAAUGCUUUGGUGUUUCAAUCUCCAUUCGAAGAUGAGAAAGCUCUUUGCACAAAGCAGUGUACUCAAGGUUGACUGUUACAUGUUUUUUCUUUUUUGGUAACUACUAUGUUGCUUUAACGAGAUUAUUUGAGGAGUUUUUCUGAUUUCACCAUUUUAGUUCGUUUCUAUUUUGUUCCUGUAUCGAUGAAUUAGGUACUUGUUCAUUCUCGAGUGGUGUGGUACAUAUUGUGGUUUUUGAUAGAGUAGAUCGUGGAUUUAUUUCUUCUAUUAAGAAAAAGGAAUUGCUAAAUGAACUUUAUACAUUUCUUUAUUGGUAGUGUAAUUUGUACUGAUACUAUUAUUUUCCUAUAAUAAACUGCUUUGAUAUUAUGUCACUUGUAUAGUAUCUAACAAACUAAUUUGGAAGCCAAUUCAUAAGUGAUUAUGAACAUCCAUUUAUUCGUCUUGUAUCAUAAUCUAGAAGUUAUCAAAUUAUUAGUUAUGAAUUUGUUUAGAAGAAUCUCAUCUUCUUGGUGAUCGAAUUAUUGAUAUGGUGAAUUAUAUCUCCAGCAUUGCUAAAUAACUCCCCUCAUAUCAUUAUUGUCUGUACGUACAGUACAACACAGCACUGUUUGAUUUGGAUCAUCGUCUCAUUCACAAUCCUAAUCCUCGUGCCAUCCUACUACAGAUAAGUCUAUGGUUGUAUUCUUUUAUAAAUUUCUCAUAAGAAAUUUUGUUCAUUAGCUUUUCUUCUUCAGUUCUUAUUCAUAUUUGGUAAUCUUUCUAAAUGUUUAGACAAUUUAAUGUGUUUCUUUUCCUUGUUGUGGACAAAUGCUUGAAAUCCUGUGGAUUUGUUAAACUUGUUUGCUAAUAAUUUGUUUGGUGUAAGUGAGCCCGAAAGCCUACAUAUUUGUAUGGAAAAUGUGUUUAUUAUUGUUUUGUAGCUUUAAUAUAGUGUUUUGCUUUUUUAUUCAUUUGUGCUUAUGUAUGUAUGUAUGUAUGUAAAUUUUGGAGUGAAAUUGCUGUGGAUGAGUUAGAUACUUCCAAACAGAUUGAGCAGAUUCUAGUUGAUUAUCCUAGCACAUGGUUCACUUUUGUUAUGCCUGCACAUACAUACAUUCAUAUGCAAGCACUGCCUCCCUGUAUAUGUCUCUUAGCUUAUUCAAGCUUGUCUGUUGAUCUGUAGUUCUCAAAUACUGCUUAGAAUGCUGCAGAUUUCAGGAGUUUGUAACUUAUAUUUUUCAUGUUUUUGGGAGUUUCUAGUGUCACAUAUACAUGAUAGGUGUUCACUGAGAAACUCUUUGCAUAAGAUUCUCUAUGCUGCUGGUCAUUUUCUUGAUCUUUAUUUGCCCUUGUUUGCUACUUUUCCAAUUUGAUAGAGUAUGCUCUAUCCCAGGUUGAUAUUUGCCUAGAAUGAAAAUUUUUUGGAUCCAGGGGAGUAGGGGUCAAAAUCUCAAGAACGAAAUACUAGUUCAGAAUCCAUCUCUGCCCAAAAACUCUCCAACUAAGAAUCCUUCAUCUGUCAUUGGAUGAAAAUAAUGCAAAUCCUAUAUAUCAAGCUUCUGAAGAGAGAACUCUUUGAGGAUUGUGAGUCUAUUUUGGAUUGGAAUUCGAUUUAGCAUUCUGCUGCUUUGACUUGCUAUUAUUACUAAUGGUUUUACCAGAAGAGAUUUUAUCUGCUUUCCGUUUGGUACAUGAUGAGAUUACCGAUGAGGAAGUGACCUUGGAAAAAUGUAGAACUUCUGCAUAUUGCGUACAAGAAAUUGAGAAAGAAGUUGGAAUCAACUCAAGGUUUGAUAUGGGCUAGUUCUGUAAAAAACUUAUUUCAAGUUGGCAUUGAUAAUUUUUUCGUAGAUUGCUCCCAGUGGAAGAAAAAUGGGAAGUGUCUUGGUAUUUUGCUCUUAUUUGAGUUGAAGCAAUCUUUAAUUGAAUCUUUAGGAAGCCAACUGGGACCUGAUGUUGUAGAUAACAUACAUCAAGAGGAGAAAACACUUGAGCAAUGCAUCAACCAAUUCAAAAAUUUUGAGGGAAACAGAGCUACUUUGGAUUCCCAGCUUAGAGAAGCAAUUCAGGAUCAAAUGUCUGAUGAUUAGUAGAAAUGAUUCUUCUGUAGAAAGCUGAGGAAUAGGACGAUCAGGAUCAACAAUUGUAGGUUGAUUGGGUGUGGCCAGCCAUAUGUUGACAAUCGUGUUCGUGUCGAUCAACGGGUGGGUGUAGAUGCUCUUUGACCAGAAUGAGCUUUGUAGGAUCUCAAUUGAUUACGUCUGUAUUAUAUCUGGGUACAAAUCUUCUUCUAUUAAUAUUAUGAGAUAUUAACGGAAGUAUUUUUGCAAUUUUUUUUUUAA
This is a long non-coding RNA of Andrographis paniculata, 7859 nucleotides long. RefSeq lists it as uncharacterized. Lineage: Eukaryota; Viridiplantae; Streptophyta; Magnoliopsida; Lamiales; Acanthaceae. The record is from RefSeq and is a predicted model, not a curated record. The transcript is spliced from 5 exons.